UACGUAGGCAGCGAGCGUUGUUCGGAAUUACUGGGCGUAAAGAGUGUGUAGGCGGUGCUCUAAGUUCGGUGUGAAAUCUCCCGGCUUAACUGGGAGGGUGCGCCGGAAACUGGAGUGCUCGAGCGUGGGAGAGGAAAGCGGAAUUCCUGGUGUAGCGGUGAAAUGCGUAGAUAUCAGGAGGAACACCGGUGGCGAAGGCGGAUCUCUGGGCCAUUACUGACGCUGAGGAGCGAAAGCGUGGGGAGCGAACAGG
This 253-nucleotide ribosomal RNA is filed under the name uncultured bacterium. Its description in RNAcentral is "partial 16S ribosomal RNA". It matches the Rfam family "Bacterial small subunit ribosomal RNA", at positions 524 to 776 of the family's 1533-position model. The record is from RNAcentral.